This 237-nucleotide ribosomal RNA is filed under the name uncultured bacterium. RNAcentral describes it as "partial 16S ribosomal RNA". It matches the Rfam family "Bacterial small subunit ribosomal RNA", at positions 923 to 1163 of the family's 1533-position model. The record is from RNAcentral.
GCACAAGCAGUGGAGUAUGUGGUUUAAUUCGAAGCAACGCGAAGAACCUUACCAGGUCUUGACAUCCAACUAACGAAGUAGAGAUACAUUAGGUGCCCUUCGGGGAAAGUUGAGACAGGUGGUGCAUGGUUGUCGUCAGCUCGUGUCGUGAGAUGUUGGGUUAAGUCCCGCAACGAGCGCAACCCUUGCUAUUAGUUGCUACGCAAGAGCACUCUAAUAGGACUGCCGUUGAUAAAA